AGCGGAGCAGCGCACCUGUGUAAAUGGGAGCGUGGUUUUGCCAUCUACUGGGCGGAGUUGGCAUUGCACCUUCAGGCGCUUUGACGGCACUCACCCAAAACACCGCGGUUUGAUGACGCACAACGAUAGCGAAGCAUCGUAGUUCCAGCUGCUGAGCUAGAAAGCGUUCCAGCCUUGGAGACCAUUUGUCUGUAAGUCUGUUCUAUACAGAAGUUGUAGCUGUAGUGUAGAUUCUGUAGCGUUAGUUUAAUUAUUCUUUGCGUUGUUAGUCCGUGGUAAUUAGCGAGUGAUGCUAGCUAACAUAUUAGCAUGUGGAGCUGUGUCGUGAGUUAUAUAUAGAUCGUCUUAGUGUGUUUGGUGUACGUGAGUUUUUUAUGCUGUUCUAUUUUCUGUAUUGUUUCAGUUUUACAAAAAAUAUUACUCAAUGGAUAAAAGGGAGAAACAACACAGUUGAGCCUUGUUGUGGUUUUCUUUCAAACUCCAUACUGUUAGCUGACUGCCUAGCCUCGCCCGAGAGAGAGAGAACGCGUCGCGAGGGCAGUACAUACAGUGAUCCCUCGCUAUAUCGCGGUUCAUCUUUCGCGGCUUCGCUGCUUCGCGGAUUUUUUUUUUUUUUUUACAGUGCCUCUGAAUCCUGAUUGGCUCAGGGGCUUUACUGUUGUCUAGAAAUAAAAUAUUGACGCUGUACUGUAUUGAUUUUUCACUUGUCAACAGUUUUCGUUUCUGUACAUUCUGCCAACUUUACGUUUGCACUUGGUCGCUUAGCAACCAUGGUGAGAAUGGCCACUGAACUUCAGCGCACGGCACAAGAAUGGGACCCUUUGAUGAGUCGUUCAUUGCAGUUCUCAAAUAUAACUGAAGACUCCUGCGCCUUCAGUAGAAACAGACGCUACAGCGGAGCGGAGUCAGGACGCAGAGGCACAGCUGGGACCGUGAAAUACACGAGUGACAAUGUUUCCAAUCUUGUACAGUAUUACUAUAUUAAAAUUAUUGUUUUAAACAAAGUUUGGUCUUUAAAACAGGUUUUGAUGUUUGGUUUCAUUCUACUGUUCAGUAUUGCAUUGUAAAAUAAUAAAAAAAAAAUAAAGUUUCUACUACGCGGAUUUCACUUUUCGCGUGUUACUUUUGGAACGUAACUCCCGCGAUAAACGAGGGAUCACUGUAUAUGAAGUAUUUUUUUCAAAAACACACUGGAGGUUAGAGGCUGCAGACAGUAAACACAACCCAUUUUCAGUUAAGUAUGCACUUG
This 1249-nucleotide long non-coding RNA is filed under the name Takifugu rubripes (torafugu). RNAcentral describes it as "lncRNA (ENSTRUG00000026681.1)". The record is from RNAcentral. Lineage: Eukaryota; Metazoa; Chordata; Actinopteri; Tetraodontiformes; Tetraodontidae.